UUCACAGCUAUGAUAAGGAGUAGUAUUCCGCUUGGCUCAGCACAGAGAGUUGACGGUUGGUGCAAGUCAAUCUGAGGCAGUGGACGAACUCGCCUUAUCGCCCUGGAGGGGAACCGACAUUUAGUACCCUUCAGCGAUUCAUCCCCGUUACCGGAUUUUGAGUGAGUACUUGAUUUGGUGCUAAUUAGGGUGGUACCGCGGGAAUUGGUUAUUCAACCUCUCGUCCCUAGC
This 231-nucleotide non-coding RNA is filed under the name Thermoactinomyces vulgaris. Its description in RNAcentral is "T-box sequence". It matches the Rfam family "T-box leader". From Rfam's summary of the family: Uncharged tRNA acts as the effector for transcription antitermination of genes in the T-box leader family. T-boxes are found upstream of many aminoacyl-tRNA synthetase genes and some amino acid biosynthetic genes usually in Gram-positive bacteria. The anticodon of a specific tRNA base pairs to a specifier sequence within the T-box motif, and the NCCA acceptor tail of the tRNA base pairs to a conserved bulge in the T-box antiterminator hairpin. The record is from RNAcentral. Lineage: Bacteria; Bacillati; Bacillota; Bacilli; Caryophanales; Thermoactinomycetaceae.